UGGGUGAGUAUGCAAACAUAUUUUAGGACAGCAGUCAAAAGAGCUUAAAGAUCACAGGUUUGUGGUCUGAACGUAUUUGUGGGAUUCAAACCCCCCGUAUCAUCAUGCAGCUAGUCACAGAAACACACGCCCAAGUUAACAGUUAAAACUUCUCUGUUUAACUGUGCUAGCCAGCGUUCUUUUUCCCAUAUUAAAUUUUAAUGUUUCAGAAUGAAGAAGCUGCCCGGACCCAGCCCUGUUCCGGGGUCCGGGGUGGCGCGCUAGGCAGCUCAGCUCAGCCUCCUCAGCUGGGCCCCCACUGUGUGCAGCCUUUGUGGACCCAGAUGACCAAAAUCCGCCAGGACGCAGAAUGCUGCCUUGUCUGGAGGACGGCACACAGCAAACCGAAUACUGGGGGAUUGUUAGGGUACAAAUGUGUGCACGUCACCCGCGCGCGUCUCCCUGAAGCCCCAUUCUUCCUGUCUGAAGUCUGACUCACCCGUGGGCGCUGGGGACGGCUCCCAGUAGCCGGCGACGACCACCUGUGGCCCUGAAAUUCUGCACUGAUCCACUCUUCCGAGUCUCCACGCCUCCCUCCCCGUCUUCCAAUUUCUGGGUCCUGCCAUAAACAUUACCCCAACAAAACUAAGGGGAUUUAUUAAGCUCACUUCACCAAAUAAAGAAAGCACGGCUUAGAGAAGUGGCCACACUUUCACAAAGUCAUAUCCCAUAAAAUGCAGCGUCUCCACACACACAGCUUCAUGCCUGCCACCACCCUUUCCUUCUGUCGUUCUUAAAAAUAUCAGUCAGCGCAGUGACUGUCCGAGGCUUAAACAUCUCGGCCAACCUGAGGUUCUGCACCGACCCAUUUGCAGUGUCCAUGUGCAGACGGCUUCCAGGUAUCAAAGGUGCAGAGCCCUCGAGUUAUGACCGGGGCUGACACACGAACAACUUGGGCUAGCCAGGUAAAUGGAGGGCUCCUCUGCCUCUUGUCAUCUAUAGCGUGUACCCAGGCAAACAUCCUGAUCUCAGCUGUACUGACGUACAACCAACUUGAGUCACAAGCAGCCCUUGGGAACAGACCGAGUGCCUCAGUCAGGGGUCCCCUGCGUGGGGCUGGCGGCUCUUGGGGACAGAGGAGAGGAUAUCUCACGGAAGACAGGGGUCAAUCUGCGAAUGACAGCGCGGAGAGGGAGGAGGAGCGAGCACACGAGAAAGUGCAAUGGUUUUGUCCACAGCCACGGAGCAGCGCUUGUAAAACUGCGUACUCUGAGGGCUCGGCAGACCAGAUCAACCGCAGCUACUGCGCGCUGGGGAGAGGCAGAGUGGUUAACGACCCCGGAGACAGGGAGGCCUCAACAGAACUACCGGCUGCGAUCCGACUCCCACUCAAAUACUCAAGGCGUCUGGCUGAACAUUUACAACAAUCAGCAGUCACGAGGGCUGAGAAAGUGUCACGUACCUGGGCUAGCACUGCAACGUCUAUUCAAACUGCUUCCCAAACAGCGAUACUCGGAAGCUUUGCCUCACAUUACAAGAGCUCGGUCUUGCAGCAAUCAUAGGAGGCUGGAUUGCUGGCUCCUUACGGUUCCUUGAAAAGAUUACGGAAUUGCUGGCCUACAAGGUGGGAUACGAAGUGACAUGCGCUGACUGGUCCCCAGCCCAAGCUCCAUGCACAGCAUAAAUUCUACAUUGCCAAGGCCGAUCUGCUGCCAACUGUGUGGACAGUGAACGAAGCAGAAUCUGUCGAACACUGGCUGUGUGUGUGCAGGAGGAAAACUUCCAGCUGGCUGCGUUCCAGCGAUGGUACCUGUCCUGGUGUGAGAUUUUCCUGGUGUUAGAGGGAGUGAGACAGUGGGAGUGCAGUGGGGAGCUGUGCUCAUCCUGAACUCCCCAGGGCUCGGCACUGCCUGAGACUAAACCUACUGCACCCAGAGCGAGGAAGGCCCCCCGGACUUCUGCAACCAAGGUCCUUUUCUUAGGGGCCCCGGGGACGGACCUUCUGUCCUGUUUACACACCACCUUCGAUACGUUUCUGCACUAGCUGCUCACAGGCUGCCAACCACCCUAACACGACAGACCUCCUGGAGCACAGAAAAAACAUUUAGAAAUAACAAAUCCACGGCUGAGUGACUCAGCAACCGGGACGCUGCACUGCACCUCAGUGCUCUGCUCUUGCCUUACCGAAGGGCAGCAAGGAAUAAGGGACACUGGAAAACCUCUUCACCUGGGCGCCCAGGUCGGUUAUGACCAGCAAGGUGGGAAGGACGGUGACAGCUUAGGAGUCCGGGGGCUCUUUCACUCCCUGCUGCCGAGGCGUGUGACUGCCCUGCUGUUCAGCGGCUUGUGCUUCCAUCCCCACGGAGGAGGCCACACAGAGGUACAUCGACACCGUGUGCUGCUGUCCUCACACAAUACCUUCAGUUCUGAGCACCAGGCAGCACGGAGCUCUCCGGCUGGCGGGGGGCUCAGAAGAGGCGGCCUUCCCCUUGCUCCUCUGGUUACCUCUUCUGCUCCUCAGGUCGGGACCAGGUCUCCGCGUCUCAUACUAGCCCAGCCCAGUAACAGCGACCUUCCGGAGGCGAAGGCAUAGGCUGCAACCCAAACCCACUUACUCAUCACAAAGCACCAACACUGCAGUUAAAUCUCAACACUGAGGGUGUAGUUCAGAAAAAAACCCCAAAACUCAUGCAUUAACGUUUUUUGUCUUAAAAGAAAACCAAAUGACACUUGUGC
Molecule: long non-coding RNA, 2715 nt
Filed under: Fukomys damarensis (Damara mole-rat)
Lineage: Eukaryota; Metazoa; Chordata; Mammalia; Rodentia; Bathyergidae
Description: lncRNA (ENSFDAG00000024417.1)
Source: RNAcentral